GAGUUUGAUCCUGGCUCAGGAACGAACGCUGGCGGCGCGCUUAACACAUGCAAGUCGAGCGAGAACCAGUCCUUCGGGACUGGGGACAGCGGCGAACGGGUGAGUAACACGUGGGUAAUCUGCCCUCGAUUCUGGGAUAGCCCGGGGAAACCCGGAUUAAUACCGGAUAGCCUCUCGAGCUUUCGAGCUCAUGAGAAAAGGUAGCUUCGGCCUCCGAUCGAGGAUGAGCCCGCGGCGGAUUAGCUUGUUGGUGGGGUAAUGGCCUACCAAGGCGACGAUCCGUAGCUGGUCUGAGAGGACGAUCAGCCACACUGGGACUGAGACACGGCCCAGACUCCUACGGGAGGCAGCAGUGGGGAAUCUUGCGCAAUGGGCGAAAGCCUGACGCAGCGACGCCGCGUGGGGGAAGAAGGCCUUCGGGUUGUGAACCUCUUUCAGCAGGGACGAAGCCACUCGGGUUAAUAGCCCAGAGGGUGACGGUACCUGCAGAAGAAGCCCCGGCUAACUACGUGCCAGCAGCCGCGGUAAUACGUAGGGGGCAAGCGUUGUCCGGAUUUAUUGGGCGUAAAGAGCGUGUAGGCGGCCGCACAGGUCCGUUGUGAAAACUGGAGGCUUAACCUUCAGACGUCGAUGGAAACCGUGCGGCUAGAGUCCGGAAGAGGAGAAUGGAAUUCCUGGUGUAGCGGUGAAAUGCGCAGAUAUCAGGAAGAACACCCGUGGCUAAGGCGGUUCUCUAGUACGGUACUGACGCUGAGACGCGAAAGCGUGGGGAGCGAACAGGAUUAGAUACCCUGGUAGUCCACGCCGUAAACGAUGGGUGCUAGGUGUGGGGGGUGUCGACUCCCUCCGUGCCGAAGCUAACGCAUUAAGCACCCCGCCUGGGGAGUACGGCCGCAAGGCUAAAACUCAAAGGAAUUGACGGGGGGCCCGCACAAGCAGCGGA
This 943-nucleotide ribosomal RNA is filed under the name uncultured bacterium. Its description in RNAcentral is "bacterial SSU rRNA". It matches the Rfam family "Bacterial small subunit ribosomal RNA", at positions 9 to 936 of the family's 1533-position model. The record is from RNAcentral.